Molecule: long non-coding RNA, 262 nt
Organism: Esox lucius (northern pike)
Lineage: Eukaryota; Metazoa; Chordata; Actinopteri; Esociformes; Esocidae
Exons: 3
Source: RefSeq, a predicted model, not a curated record
GGAGUGUGUAGUGAUCCAACACAUGAGUGGCAUCUUCCUGUGAGAAGGGAAGACUGCAACAAUGCCCAUGUUGGCCAGGUAGUGGAUAUAAUGCCUAAGAGCUAUUUCUCUUGCAAUCAACUCCCGAAAGAGAAUCUCUGUACAGAAACACAGUGAAUGGUCAUUCAUUGCAGACUAUUAUUGCUCUCCACUCCAGUUCACCUUCUCCACCUCAUCUUCUUCAUCCUCAUCCUCUACCAGAAUACUGUUCACAGCCCGUUUA